AUUGAACGCUGGCGGCAUGCUUUACACAUGCAAGUCGAACGGCAGCGCGGGCUUCGGCCUGGCGGCGAGUGGCGAACGGGUGAGUAAUGCAUCGGAACGUGCCCAGUAGUGGGGGAUAGCCCGGCGAAAGCCGGAUUAAUACCGCAUACGACCUGAGGGUGAAAGCGGGGGACCGAAAGGCCUCGUGCUAUUGGAGCGGCCGAUGUCGGAUUAGCUAGUUGGUGGGGUAAAGGCUUACCAAGGCGACGAUCCGUAGCUGGUCUGAGAGGACGACCAGCCACACUGGGACUGAGGCACGGCCCAGACUCCUACGGGAGGCAGCAGUGGGGAAUUUUGGACAAUGGGGGCAACCCUGAUCCAGCCAUGCCGCGUGCGGGAAGAAGGCCUUCGGGUUGUAAACCGCUUUUGUUCGGGAAGAAAUCCUCUGGGCUAAUACCCCGGGGGGAUGACGGUACCGGAAGAAUAAGCACCGGCUAACUACGUG
This 484-nucleotide ribosomal RNA is filed under the name uncultured bacterium. Its description in RNAcentral is "partial 16S ribosomal RNA". It matches the Rfam family "Bacterial small subunit ribosomal RNA", at positions 28 to 507 of the family's 1533-position model. The record is from RNAcentral.